RNAcentral lists this ribosomal RNA (279 nucleotides) under uncultured bacterium. RNAcentral's name for it is "partial 16S ribosomal RNA". It matches the Rfam family "Bacterial small subunit ribosomal RNA", at positions 541 to 818 of the family's 1533-position model. The record is from RNAcentral.
UUAUCCGGAUUUACUGGGUGUAAAGGGAGCGCAGGUGGUGCGGCAAGUCUGAUGUGAAAGCCCGGGGCUCAACCCCGGUACUGCAUUGGAAACUGUCGUACUAGAGUGUCGGAGGGGUAAGUGGAAUUCCUAGUGUAGCGGUGAAAUGCGUAGAUAUUAGGAGGAACACCAGUGGCGAAGGCGGCUUACUGGACGAUAACUGACGCUGAGGCUCGAAAGCGUGGGGAGCAAACAGGAUUAGAUACCCUGGUAGUCCACGCUCGUAAACGAUGAAUACUA